GUCGUCGUGGCCGAGUGGUUAAGGCGACAGACUAGAAAUCUGUUGGGCUCUGCCCCCACAGGUUCGAAUCCUGUCGGCGACG
Ciona savignyi (Pacific transparent sea squirt) is the source of this 82-nucleotide non-coding RNA. NCBI's taxonomy places the organism in Eukaryota, Metazoa, Chordata, Ascidiacea, Phlebobranchia, Cionidae. The record is from Rfam.